AGAGUUUGAUCAUGGCUCAGAACGAACGUUGGCGGCGUGGAUUAGGCAUGCAAGUCGUGCGUGAACGGGGCUUCGGCCCCUAGUAAAGCGGCGAACGGGUGAGUAACGCGUGGGGAACCUGCCUUUGGGUGGGGGAUAACACUCCUAACGGGGUGCUAAUACCGCAUGACAUCCCUUGGUCGCAUGACCGGGGGAUCAACGGUGGCCUCUGCUUGCAAGCUAUCGCCCAAAGAUGGCCCCGCGUCCGAUUAGCUAGUUGGUGAGGUAAUGGCUCACCAAGGCUACGAUCGGUAGCUGGUCUGAGAGGAUGGUCAGCCACACUGGGACUGAGAUACGGCCCAGACUCCUACGGGAGGCAGCAGUCGAGAGGCUUCGGCAAUGGGGGAAACCCUGACCGAGCGACGCCGCGUGAGGGAUGACGCCCUUCGGGGUGUAAACCUCUUUUCUGAGGGAAGAACCCCGGGGAGUCGAAUAGGCUUUCCGGCUGACGGUACCUUAGGAAUAAGCUCCGGCCAACUCCGUGCCAGCAGCCGCGGUAACACGGGGGGAGCAAACGUUGUUCGGAAUUACUGGGCGUAAAGGGCGCGUAGGCGGCCUCGUAAGUGGUGUGUGAAAUGUCCUGGCUCAACCAGGGAAUUGCGCUCCAAACUGCGGGGCUUGAGGGCAGUAGAGGAAGCUGGAAUUCCAGGUGUAGCGGUGAAAUGCGUAGAUAUCU
RNAcentral lists this ribosomal RNA (715 nucleotides) under uncultured bacterium. Its description in RNAcentral is "bacterial SSU rRNA". It matches the Rfam family "Bacterial small subunit ribosomal RNA", at positions 8 to 699 of the family's 1533-position model. The record is from RNAcentral.